UGGGAAUUUGGACAAUGGGGGCAACCCUGAUCCAGCCAUCCCGCGUGUGCGAUGAAGGCCUUCGGGUUGUAAAGCACUUUUGGCAGGGAAGAAACAGCCUGGGAUAAUACCCCGGGCGACUGACGGUACCUGCAGAAUAAGCACCGGCUAACUACGUGCCAGCAGCCGCGGUAAUACGUAGGGUGCAAGCGUUAAUCGGAAUACUGGGCGUAAAGCGUGCGCAGGCGGUUCGGAAAGAAAGGUGUGAAAUCCCAGGGCUUAACCUUGGAACUGCACUUUUAACUACCGACUAGAGUACGUCAGAGGGGGGUAGAAUUCCACGUGUAGCAGUGAAAUGCGUAGAGAUGUGGAGGAAUACCGAUGGCGAAGGCAGCCCCCCUGGAUGAUACUGACGCUCAUGCACGAAAGCGUGGGGAGCAAACAGGAUUAGAUACCCUGGUAGUCCACGCCCUAAACGAUGUCAACUAGCUGUUGGGGGUUU
RNAcentral lists this ribosomal RNA (481 nucleotides) under uncultured bacterium. RNAcentral's name for it is "partial 16S ribosomal RNA". It matches the Rfam family "Bacterial small subunit ribosomal RNA", at positions 357 to 832 of the family's 1533-position model. The record is from RNAcentral.